UACGUAGGGGGCAAGCGUUGUCCGGAAUCAUUGGGCGUAAAGAGCGCGUAGGCGGCCCUGUAAGUCCGCUGUGAAAGUCAAGGGCUCAACCCUUGGAUGCCGGUGGAUACUGCAGGGCUAGAGUCCGGAAGAGGCGAGUGGAAUUCCUGGUGUAGCGGUGAAAUGCGCAGAUAUCAGGAGGAACACCGAUGGCGAAGGCAGGUCUCUGGGCCAUAACUGACGCUGAGAAGCGAAAGCAUGGGGAGCGAACAGG
RNAcentral lists this ribosomal RNA (253 nucleotides) under uncultured bacterium. RNAcentral describes it as "partial 16S ribosomal RNA". It matches the Rfam family "Bacterial small subunit ribosomal RNA", at positions 524 to 776 of the family's 1533-position model. The record is from RNAcentral.